AUCAUGGCCCUUACGAGUAGGGCUACACACGUGCUACAAUGGUCGGUACAAAGGGUUGCCAACUCGCGAGAGUGAGCCAAUCCCGAAAAGCCGAUCUCAGUCCGGAUCGGAGUCUGCAACUCGACUCCGUGAAGUCGGAAUCGCUAGUAAUCGUAGAUCAGAAUGCUACGGUGAAUACGUUCCCGGGCCUUGUACACACCGCCCGUCACACCAUGGGAGUGGACUGCACCAGAAGUGGUUAGCCUAACGCAAGAGGGCGAUCACCACGGUGUGGUUCAUGACUGGGGUGAAGUCGUAACAAGGUAGCCGUAGGGGAACCUGCGGCUGGAUCACCUCCUUAACCGAUGA
Molecule: ribosomal RNA, 348 nt
Filed under: Halomonas sp. SUBG004
Lineage: Bacteria; Pseudomonadati; Pseudomonadota; Gammaproteobacteria; Oceanospirillales; Halomonadaceae
Description: bacterial SSU rRNA
Rfam family: Bacterial small subunit ribosomal RNA
Source: RNAcentral